GAGCUUGCUCCUUGAUUCAGCGGCGGACGGGUGAGUAAUACCUAGGAAUCUGCCUGAUAGUGGGGGACAACGUUUCGAAAGGAACGCUAAUACCGCAUACGUCCUACGGGAGAAAGCAGGGGACCUUCGGGCCUUGCGCUAUCAGAUGAGCCUAGGUCGGAUUAGCUAGUUGGUGAGGUAAUGGCUCACCAAGGCGACGAUCCGUAACUGGUCUGAGAGGAUGAUCAGUCACACUGGAACUGAGACACGGUCCAGACUCCUACGGGAGGCAGCAGUGGGGAAUAUUGGACAAUGGGCGAAAGCCUGAUCCAGCCAUGCCGCGUGUGUGAAGAAGGUCUUCGGAUUGUAAAGCACUUUAAGUUGGGAGGAAGGGCAGUAAGCUAAUACCUUGCUGUUUUGACGUUACCGACAGAAUAAGCACCGGCUAACUAUGUGCCAGCAGCCGCGGUAAUACAGAGGGUGCAAGCGUUAAUCGGAAUUACUGGGCGUAAAGCGCGCGUAGGUGGUUCGUUAAGUUGGAUGUGAAAUCCCCGGGCUCAACCUGGGAACUGCAUC
Molecule: ribosomal RNA, 555 nt
Filed under: bacterium RBM-B15
Lineage: Bacteria
Description: bacterial SSU rRNA
Rfam family: Bacterial small subunit ribosomal RNA
Source: RNAcentral